Molecule: long non-coding RNA, 206 nt
Filed under: Nicotiana benthamiana
Lineage: Eukaryota; Viridiplantae; Streptophyta; Magnoliopsida; Solanales; Solanaceae
Description: long non-coding RNA (NBEN_LNC027149)
Source: RNAcentral
GACCCAAUUGGAUUAAACUAGAACCAUUAAUUAGUCUUCUUCUUCGUCGAUUAAGAAGACCAUAGUCAGCCGGAGUUGAAUAAAUGGCCAGAAUCCGGUCAAAGUUCUUCAGAUCUGGGUCCUCAUGUGGCGUCUCUAGCUAAGCCCGAUUCACAAUCGUUGGCAAGUUUAUCCCCAUGUUCGAUUGAGAAAUACAGUCUUCUUCA